ACAAUGGCUCACAAAACAAGCGAUAGCAGGAUGGCUUAGUACCUUCUGCUGAGGAGCCCAACUGAUAAUUUUUCCAUGGCUGUCUUCAAAUUCAUUUAGGUUCGAUUCUUGGGUACUGGUUCCUGGACGAACCACCCAAAGAAAAGGUUUGUUUGUUAGUUUAAGUCCAAGUGCCAAUUCUUGAAGUUGAGAUUGGUCAAAAAUGGUGAAACUGCCAAAUGCUACAUAUAUCACUGACUGGGAAGGCUGUUGAUCAAGCCAUUUUAGGCACGAGGAGUCCUCCGGCCAGAACUGUGCUCCUGAAUUCCCUGUAUCGUAGCCUGCUAAUAAUGGGCCAAUUGGGAGGAGCUUUGGAGCAAAAGAAAAUACCUCAGCCUCAAGUUCAUGAAUUGAGUUGCAUAGCUGCCAUUCUAUCAAUUGUGAAUCUUCCAUUACUCUUUCAAUGUAUUUGAAAAAACCCUUUUGUGAGUAGGCGUUGCCAAUUUUCCAUGCCAAGUUAUCAGUGUCAAAAAUAGGACCGCUUGGGGAUAUUUGAAUCAUUUGUUUCUUGAUUGAAUAUCCUGUAAAUGAAUCAAAAGAAAAAUGCAUGCAGAGUACGAGUAGUAACUUUACGUGGAAUAUCAACGACAUCAAGACUUUCUUGUGCUUAAAGAAUAAUAAUAACAAUAAAAGCAAGGGAAGGACUUACCGUCACUGUCGAUACAUCCAUCUCGAAUAAGAUUAGGAAUGCUGGCUAAUUGGCCAAAAAUGGCAGCUGAUGCAGGCCAGAACAUUGCAACUUGGAUCCCUAAUUUGUCAGCAACUUCUCUUGCCCACCCCAUACAUCCAUCAACUACAAUACAAGUGAUGGGAUGAUUCUUGUUGAUGUCUUCUAUGAGAUCCUGAAGCUUUUUGGGCAUGGUGAUCAACAUGGCCUCGCAUAACUUGCCAAUGUCAGUUCUAUCAUCCUCAGGAUCCAUCCCAUCUGGGAUUGAGACCAAAUUAACACAUGAGCCUGUAGGAUCGCUUCUGCCACCCAUUGCACUAAGCACUCUCCUGAGGUUAAAGUCUGUAUUGACAAAAGUGACUUUGGAUCCAAGGUUGGCUAUUCUCCGAGCAAAGUGCAUUAAGGGGUUAACAUGUCCUUGGGCUGGAAAUGGUAGCAGUAGAACAUGUGAAUUUCGCAUUUUCCUUUUUGCGGUUUGAGAAACAGAGCAGAGAAAAUGCGGAAUCUUAUCUUCCUCCGUUGGCAACGAGGCAAAGGAGUGGCUAAUAAUUUAUUGGCUGCAAGGGCAAAGGAUUAAACAGAAAUUGUAGAAUAUAACGGUAAUACCGACCAGGAUUUCCUGGUUGGUCUAUUAAUAAAUUAUUUGUAUUUUGACACGUAUGUUAAAAAAAUAAAAAAAUAUAUUAAUUUUUAUUAUAUUUUGUUUUUCUCUUUCUUAUUAAUAAAUCACUACUAUAUUAUAAGUCUAAAUGGCCCACUGUUAUUUAUAACUUGAAAUAAGUAAUGGUAAUUAAAUAGUUUUAUUUUAAAAAAAUUGGAAUGGAUUCGGAUCAAUUCAUAUUCAUUUACCACCGAAUUAAAUAUGUGAAUACGAUAAUCAAUAAUUUUAUUAUAAUCAUUAAUUAUGAUAGGAUUAUAAAUAUUAUGAUUAAUAUCUAACUAUGUUUUGUGUUUUACAUAUAAUAUAAUAAUUUUUCAUAAGAAUAAAAUUUUUAAUUAAUCAGAAGAGGAGAAGAAACCUUCAAUCAGGUCUCUUAAUAAGUAUUUUCACAAGUACAUAAAAUCGUUAAAAUAAUAAAAUGAUGGGUAGAGUUUUCGAAUAAUUGGUUUUUAAAUAUAAAAAAUAUAUGUAAUUCUAAUGUUAUUUAAGUUAUCAAAUUAAAUUUUGAAUUAAGGAGAGAACUCUAAUCUAAUUCUUGAAAAUGGCACAAUUUAAUGAUAAAGAUGGAUACAGGCUUUUUCUUCAACAAGGGAAAUAAAGCAGAUAAAUAUAUUAUAAUUAAUAUUUAUUAUUUAUAGUUAUUUCCCACGAGUUUUCAUAUUUUAAUAAUAUCAAAUAAUUUUUUUAAAUUUCCAUACUAUUAAAUCUAUCUUUCUCAACAUAGAUAACUAAUAAUCAUUCAUUAAAAUGGCUACUAUAUUAUAGGAGAGCUAAUAAAAUAUAAAUAUAAAAUACAAAUAAAAGCUAAAUUUACAUAAUUAGAGAGCUAAAUAAAAUUAAAAUAAGAAUAAAUUUGAGAGAAUAAAAAAAUUAAAAGGAAAAAUGUAUAUAAAAAAUGAAAAAUGCCCUUUGAGACAUCAUGCUGUAAAGGUGAGCGGUGGGUAAAUUUUCCAUUGAGGUAUGAGUUUGUUGCUUCAAUAACAUCAGUUUAUUUGAGGGAUAUAGAGAUGAAAAACAAAAAGAACAAGAGAAAACUUGAAAUGAACACCAAAGGAAAUGAGAAGUUAAAUGUGUUGGAAGGUUUUUUUCUUUUUCUUUUUUCUUCUAUAUUAUAUCAAUCUCAUUUACAAAGUUGAACAUAAAUAUACAGAGUAUAUGAGAGAUAUUAAAAAAAAACUAUUUUAGCUAUAAAUAAAAUAUAAGGCUAAGAAUGUGUUGUGUUCCAUGAAAGAAAGGAUUUUAAUAUGCUCCUAUAAUUUCUCUACUAAAAACUGAUUUGAUAGCUCACGUCAACACUUUUCCUCAAGUUGAUGCAUAUAUGUUUUCGAUACCCAGCUUGUCAAGUUGUAAAAAAUUUUACUCGUCUUUGUGAUGAUAUCUAGUUGGUCUUCAGAUUUAAUAAAAGAGAAACAAAUUAUUUUUUUCUUCAAGAUUCAUCUUGACGAAGUGUCAACCCACCUCUACAUAUUUGUUAUGAUCAUGUUAAAUAUGAUUUGCCCCACCUCUACAUGUUUGGUGUGAUUAUGUUGAACAGGAUUGUAAUUGUUGCCUUGUUGUCACAAAAGAGCCUUUUGUCAUUCCUUGGAACUCAACUUCAACACUAGAUAAUGCUACUAUCUUCUAUUUCUUGCUUCUUCAAGUAACCACAUUGCUUUCUACAAAUGUAAAAUAGCCUGAGUGGACUUUCUAUCAGAAGUAUUGUCUGUCCAAUCUGCAUCCGUGUGACCAUCAAUACUCAUAUGAUUAUUCUUUGUGAACAUAAUUCCUUUUCCAUGAGAGACUUUAGAUAGCAAAGAAUUUGAAUCACUGCAUCCAUAUGACUUUCACUUGGGCAAUGCAUGACUUGGCUUACAAAGGCAUUUCUUUCAUAUAUUGAUUUUUCUAAAAAAAAAUAAAAAAAAUCUUGGAUUGUCAUAAUUCUGUGGCGGUAAACAUUUUUGGUAAGUGGUCCUUUGAUUUGUUUACUCCAAAAGUCGGACAUUAUAGCUAAAAUAUGGAGGAUGCGUUCGCUGAUGAACCCUGAUAAGGCUCUCACCGAAGGCUUUGAAGCUAUAGCUUCAAUAGCAGAUGGUCUAAGCAUCACUCUGGUUGAACGAAAAUCUCUGAGAGGCAGGAGCCUAAACGUUGUAUUGGCUGCUUGCUUGUUCAUUGCCUGCAGAGAGUAAAUCUCCGAGGACGUUAAGGGAGAUAAGUAGGGCCACAGCUGGGGUUUCAGGGAAGGAAAAUAAAAUAGAAGAACAGGGGCUAUAAAGAAGCAUGUGGAGAUUGAUACUGGGACUUUGCAUGCUAGUGAACUUGUUAGACGGUUCUGUUCUAAUCAUGGCAUGAAAAAUCAAGCAAUGAAGUCUGUUAAGAAGCUCUUGAAAACUCCAAAGAUAUUGAUGAGGAACAAAAAUCCACCUUGGUCUUGGCAGCCAUUAUUCAUAUAAUCGCUCAGCUUUCAACCACUUGCAUUGCAUAUCACUGAUUUUAGAAAAGGACACAGAAAAUUUACCAAUCAUAAUCUUUCUUCAAUCAUUACAAAUGGAACUAUCCUUGAAUUGACAUUUCUUUUGUGUUCUUGAUGGAUUUAACUGAAGGUAGUAAGGAUUUGCAGACAUUGCAAUGGCUGUUGAACUUGAAGUUGCAGAAGAAAAAAUCAAGAAGGCAUAUAAAGAUAUGCAUGCUUCAAAGCUCAUAGACAGUUGGUACCCUAAGGAGGUGAACAUCCACAAGCUGAUCUGCCAUCCUUCAAUUUGAGGUGCCAAGCAAAGCAGUAUAAAAAGUUGCAUAGUUGAGGAUCAUUUGUAAUUUCAAAUCACUGUAAUUGAAUAGGGAUUUGGCUGGUUGAAGGAUUUGUUCAAUCAUAAGCUAGAUUUAAUGAUUCUUGUCUUUCGAUUAGACUCUUGCUAACAUCUCUGAAAAAAACAAAAGAAGAAAAAAACUCCCAGCUGCUUUUCUCAAUAAGUAAAAUCUUCAGCUCCAUAUUAUUUAGGUAUGAAAAUUCGAAACUAAAUUUAUCAUAUAAUUAUUGAGUUUAGCCACUGAACUAAGUCCUAAGCAAGAGUAUAUUAAUGAAUAUUUAUAUUUUUUUAUAUAUAUUUUUAUUGACCAUAAAUAAAGCAGCACUUAUGUUAUUUCUAUUUUUUUUACAGUUAUAUUGUACAAUAAUUAUUGUGAUAAUUGAUAAGGAGAAAGGAAAGUACUUGAGAAUGAUUAGUUAAUAUGUAAAAGAGAGAAAAAGAGAAAAAAAUGAGAUAGUUGAAGUCUAUGAAUGGUAUUUCUGAUACUCUAAUUAUAAAAAUAUAGUUUGAGUUUAAGAAUAAGUGUGUUAGAAUGUAUAUCUCAAACUCUAUGUAUGUUUUGUUUUUUAUAUUGUAAUAAGUUGACAAAUUUUUUAAAAAUUCUUGAUAAUGAUUGUAGAUAGGAGAUAUUGCAAUUAUAAAUGUAAUAAAAAUUUACUGAAUUUUAUUUUCUAACGGUAAGACUACAUCGGCUCGAAAGGAUAAAUUUUUUGUAGUUCUAAGUAUCAAUAGCUAUGAUAUCCGAAAUUCUUCUCUUUUAUAUGAAGCUUCUGUGAUCGAAUAUUAUAACCAGUGUGUCUUGUCACGUGAUCUAAUCAUCAUAUAUUUUAGAUGAAUAUUAUAUUACAUCAAAAAAUUUAUUUUAUUUAUAAUUUAAUAUAAAUUAUUUUUAAAUUUUAAUAUUCUAUAUAUUUUUUAUCAAAAUAAUUUAUAAUAGUUUUUAUGAAAUUUUUAUUUAUUAAAAUCUCUAACUAUAAUAGUCUCACUUCAAUACUUUAUUUAAUUUUUACAUAUUAAAUUUAUUUUUUCAAUAAAACUGCAUUUAUAUAACUUUUUGCAACCUAUUUUCUAUGAAACAUCAAUUGGUUAAUAUAUAGUUAAAAUAUGUCAUCACUCUAAAGGAUAAACAAAUGAGAAAUAUUAAUAAAAUAUAAAAAUAUCAUAUAUAAAUAAUACUAAAAUUUGUAAUACUCAAAUUUAAUUAAAUAAAUAUUAGUUACAAAUUUUAGGCUAAUAUUAUAAUAAUUAAUUAUAUGGGUUAUAAUAUGUAUUAACCUUAACAAGGUGAGCUUAAAUGAAUUUUAAACAAUUUUACAAAGCUAAAUAAAAUAAUUUAAAGUGAUACUUGGAGGGAAAAAAUCAUAUAUAAAAAUCUAUUAAUUAGUAUUUUUGUUAAAAUAAAUAGUUAAAUAUUUUUUAAAAAAUUUAAAAUAUUCCUAACAUAAAAAAUAAAAUAGUAAAUUUUUUAAAAUGUUAAAAAAGCAACUAAUGAUUUAUUUAAAACCAUAAAAACUAAUUAUUUAACUUGUAAAAUUAAUCGACUAUCUAAUUUUAGAUAGUAAAAUCAAUUUACAGACCCUCAUCUGAAAAUUUUAAAUAAAAAUAUUUAGAAUCUCAGUUAUUAAUUAGAUUUAAUAUAAAUUAAUUUUAUCAUACCUAAUAAAAUUAUUCCUUAAACUUAUAUUGUGUUUUUUUUUUUUUUAGGACAAGAAUAUGUACAGAUAUAAUUUCUAUUUUAAUACCUCUAAGAGCGAAAUGGGAUAGAAGCUAAGGGAUUAUUUGGUUUAAAUAAAGAUUGAUUUUUUUAAUAUAAAAAUAAUUUUAAAUUUUUAUGGAAUUUUAUACCAUGAAUUUAUGUAAAAAUAUAUUAAUACUAUUUAUUUGUUAAUAUGAUAGAUUUCUAUAAAAUGAUUCGUUUAUAAAAAAAUAAGUACCAUUUUUAAAAAAUACAAAAUAUAAUCUGUCCAUCUACUUGAACCAUUGGAUAAAUUUGAGUUUUGUAUUUUUAGAAGGAAAAAUAUAUUUUUUAUCUGAUAAAUUUAACAUAAAUGUAAUUUUAUUUAAUAUAUUAAUUAAGAAUCAUAUUGUAAAAUUUUAUAAUAUAAUUAUAAAUAUAAAAUAUUAUAUUAUAUUAUUAAAUAAUAAUUCUCGGCAGAUCAAAUAAGUAACUAGUUUAUUUAAACUUAACCCAAUUAAAAUUGGGAUAAUUCAAUUAAAAAUUUCAAAAUUUCUAAAAAAUGAUAAUUAUUUUUGUUUGGUUAACUUUUUUUCAUAAUUUUCUAAAAAAAAAAAAAUAUUUUUUUUCUUUUUUCAUAAACAACAUUUAAACUAAAUAAAAAUUUAAUUAAUUAUUAAACUUUGAGCUGCGUUUUACUGUGAGUUAUAUAUAUUAUUUUAUAUAAAAAUCUAAAAUAUUCUAUAUUUGUGUUGUAAAAAAUAUAAAAUAUAAAGAGAUUAAUUAAUAAAUAAUUUAUAAAUUUGAAUAAUUAAUUAAUAAAUUUUUUAAAUUAUAAAAAUUAAAUAGUAAUGAAAGAGGUUAAUUAUUAUACUUUAAAAUAUUAAAGAUGUUUUUUUAUAUUUUUAAUUAAUAUUUUUUUAUAAUAUAAAAAUUAAAUAAUAAUUUUAUAACAUGAAUUAUAAUAAGGGCAGACAGGAGCCUUACACAUUUAUUAUUGAUUUGAAAUUAAGUGCUCAACUCAUUAAAGAGCUUGUCUAGACAUUGGCAGUUGGCAGUGGGCACUGGGCAGAGCUCCUAUGCCGCGUGGAGAAGCGUUAGAGGAAAAGCAUUAAAGACACAAUAUACUCAGCAUCCCACGUGCCAAUAACUGUAAUUUACACAAGCAAUACUUUAAUUUAACAUACAAAUUUUAUUUUAUAACAUAAAAUUCUUUCAUUUUCUAUUUAAAUAAAAUAAAACAAAUUUCAUCUCUAAUAAAAAAGUUUUAAAUUAAUUUAUUGAUGAGACAUUGAUUAAAAUAACUUAUAUAUAUUUGUCUGUAUUACUUAAUUAAUAUUUUAAUUUUCUUAAUAAAUAAUUAUUUGAUUUUUUUUUUUCAAAUGAGACGCAAAAUGACAAUGACUAACAAGAAAAAGAAAGAAAACAAAUAAAGCCGAAGACACAAAUAACUCCUGAAAGUUGCAGAUGCCAAACCCACAUCAGAGGCAAAUCCCCCAUUUUUAUAUUUUAUUUAUAAACUAAUAAAUUGAAAAAAAAUAAACUAAUAAAUUUUGUACAUAACAUGAAUAUUAAUAUUAGUAUGAAUUUAAUGUAUUUUUUUUUAUUUAGAUGGUUUUAGAUUUUGGAGCUUUUACUAUGAAUUUCAAGCUCUUGUAUACUUAAGACUUGUAUUUGUAGGUCAUGUAUUAAUUUUUCCUUAUCAAUGUAAACAUUUAGUUUAUUUUUAAUUUAAUAAGUAUUAGUAAAAUUAAUAAAUUUGUACAGAAAAUACCGACUUACUAUUAUAUUAUUUAAAAUAAUUCCUUAUAAUUAUGGAUUUAACAUAUCAAAUAUAAAGUUAUUUUCAUUAUAAUUUUUAGGAAACAUAUACAAAUAUGAUUAUAAGAAUUCUUAUAUUUACGUAAAUUAUUUAUUUAAUAGAUAAAAACAUCACUUAAUGUUUAUUAAUAUUGAAAGUAAAAUUAAAAUAAGAUUCACUCAAACAUAGCAUAGCAACAAAUACUACAUAAUUCAAAUGCCAGUUCAAUAGUCAUAGUCCUUCCACAGAGACUCCUUGAAAAGAUGACAUCUCCCCCAACCUAGGCAUCCACCCACUUGAUGAAGUUGCUAAAAUUUGUGGAGGACUGACCACCUUCUCCGAUAUUAUUUUCAGCAAUUUGCUUCAGCUCCAAGGCCUUUUUUCUUAUAAUUUUAUCCCCAAGCAAUAGCUCCACCUUUUGUUUAAAUUCCUCCUUUGUUAUGAUUCCUUUUUCAUCCUUCUCUAACCCCAAACCAAUCUUCCAUACAUCACAAAUGUAGCUCUUGUUAGCAAACUGGUCAGCAAAGUAAGGCCAACACAAGAAAGGGAUUCCAUUGCUCACGCCUUCUAUGGUAGAGUUCCAGCCACAAUGGCUCACAAAACAAGCAAUAGCAGGAUGGCUUAGUACCUUCCUCUGAGGAGCCCAACUGAUAAUUUUUCCAUGUCUCCCUUCAAAUUCAUUUAGGUUCAAUUCUUGGGUACUGGUUCCUGGACGAACCACCCAAAGGAAAGGCUUGCUUGUCAGUUUAAGUCCAAGUGCCAAUUCUUGAAGUUGAGAUUGGUCAAAAAUGGUCAAACUGCCAAAUGCUACAUAUAUCACUGACUGGGAAGGCUUUUGAUCAAGCCAUUUUAG
RNAcentral lists this long non-coding RNA (8479 nucleotides) under Manihot esculenta (cassava). RNAcentral's name for it is "long non-coding RNA (MESC_LNC000499)". The record is from RNAcentral. Lineage: Eukaryota; Viridiplantae; Streptophyta; Magnoliopsida; Malpighiales; Euphorbiaceae.